Non-coding RNA from Lentinula guzmanii, 87 nucleotides. NCBI's taxonomy places the organism in Eukaryota, Fungi, Basidiomycota, Agaricomycetes, Agaricales, Omphalotaceae. The record is from the annotation of a GenBank genome assembly.
UCCUUCUUAGCUCAGUUGGUAGAGCGCGUCACUAGUAAAUUUCAUUACGUAAUGACGAGGUCAGUCGUUCAAGUCGGCUAGAAGGAA